CAGGACUGAGCCAAGAACUUUGUCAAAUAGACCCAUUAGUAAUCAUCUGUUUCUCAGGCUAAUGGGCCCAGUCUUCUGUUAAGUGCUUUGACUGGAAACUCCCAAAGCCACGCCUGAAGGUUGAUCUCCAUGUAACAUCUGUUCUGGGAUGGUGCUGGUGGAACACAGAGUGGAA
This 175-nucleotide long non-coding RNA is filed under the name Numida meleagris (helmeted guineafowl). RNAcentral describes it as "lncRNA (ENSNMEG00000017396.1)". The record is from RNAcentral. Lineage: Eukaryota; Metazoa; Chordata; Aves; Galliformes; Numididae.